CGAACGGGUGAGUAACGCGUGAGGAACCUGCCUCAAAGAGGGGGACAACAGUUGGAACGACUGCUAAUACCGCAUAAGCCCACGGCUCGGCAUCGAGCAGAGGGAAAAGGAGCAAUCCGCUUUGAGAUGGCCUCGCGUCCGAUUAGCUAGUUGGUGAGGUAACGGCCCACCAAGGCGACGAUCGGUAGCCGGACUGGGAGGUUGAACGGCCACAUUGGGACUGAGACACGGCCCAG
RNAcentral lists this ribosomal RNA (236 nucleotides) under uncultured bacterium. RNAcentral's name for it is "partial 16S ribosomal RNA". It matches the Rfam family "Bacterial small subunit ribosomal RNA", at positions 99 to 334 of the family's 1533-position model. The record is from RNAcentral.